GAGUUCUUAUGAUGGGAUAAC
This 21-nucleotide non-coding RNA is filed under the name Rattus norvegicus (Norway rat). The record is from RNAcentral. Lineage: Eukaryota; Metazoa; Chordata; Mammalia; Rodentia; Muridae.